CGAGUCUGCCUCCUCGGCUUGUACAUCUAUUUUCGUUGGAAAUGCGACAAAUGCAUUAUGCAACAGCUUACGUGAAAAUUUCUUGUGACAAUUUGAGUGUGUUGCGACUGGCGCAGCAUCUGGUUUGGCCUCUGUGAUAUUUAUUGACAUAUGCCUCACAAAUUCAGUCUCGCGGCUUUCCGAAAUGUGUUGCACUUAAAGCUCAAGUCUGGCACGGUUUCAGCAUAAAUAAUGGACUGCCAGCCCCCGACCAGACGAGUGCAACUGGCGGCAGUCGAGCACUGAAGUAUAUACAUUUCAAAUAUUGCAAAAGUUGUAUGUCAAUUAACAAUAAACUCAACAUGGAGAACUUGCCGUAAGACAAGACUAAAGAAACGGACGGGGAAUAGUCGAAAGCUGAAUGAUCUAUCGAUGAGACAAGACUAUGACAGCUCUAUUCAUAUAAAAGUGCUCGUUAACGAUUAAUGUUAUUUCGAUAUAAACAUUAAAUAAAAACAUCGAUAUAUAUCGAAAAAUGAUAAAUAGAUAACUAAUUGUCGAUGAAAGCUCUUGAUAUCGAUAACUGAUUUUCCAGAAAAAUGUUUAUGAAAUCAAUAACUGAUUGUCGAUAUAAGCUCAUGAUAUCGAAAGCUUAUUAAACACGAUUAACUUGAUUACAACUUGAGGAUAACCUGCGAUAUUAAAGAGCAUUAAAAUGAAAGCCUGCUAACUAAUUUCUAAGCAAACGUAUCGAUACUUUAAUCGAUAUUCCAAAUACGAUAUAUUUAUUCACAACUCAAACACUGUGAACGAGAAUUCUCUCACAAGUUAAAUGUUCUAUAUAAAUCUUAUCAGACUUGCUCAUACAAACAAAUUAGGAGUGAACUUAUAUUCGGGCACAAAUGGAAAUUGCAAUAAAGGCCAUUUUUAAUAGAGUUGCAGCACGAGACAGAUGUGGCAGUUGUAAAAAUUUGACAGCUGCUGGCAGCAGUCCCAGUUGCAAAACAAGGAUGAUAAACCGAAAUGCCCUUUCUACGGCUAGUGUAUGUGUGUGCGAGUGUGUGCCUGUGUGUGUGAAUGCCAAGACGACGCAAAAGGACAUUGCAAGCUGUACACAUUUUUCGGGUAUAUAUUUGGCCAGAGAGCUUUUGGCAAAGCGGCAACUCUUCCACUUGCAACUGUUGCCCGCAAACUGAAGGACAAAACGGGGCCGAGUCUGGGGAGCAUUUGCAUGCGCUCAGAGUGAAGCGAAACUUUUGUAAUUAAUAAAUUAUUUAUGAAGAAUAAAUGAAAAGGAGACGCUGCCAGAGCACAACCAACUGCAA
Drosophila virilis is the source of this 1304-nucleotide non-coding RNA. Lineage: Eukaryota; Metazoa; Arthropoda; Insecta; Diptera; Drosophilidae. The record is from RefSeq and is a predicted model, not a curated record.